CGUAGGGUGCGAGCGUUAAUCGGAAUUACUGGGCGUAAAGCGUGCGCAGGCGGUUUUGUAAGACAGGCGUGAAAUCCCCGGGCUCAACCUGGGAACUGCGCUUGUGAUUGCAAGGCUAGAGUACGGCAGAGGGGGGUGGAAUUCCACGUGUAGCAGUGAAAUGCGUAGAGAUGUGGAGGAACACCAAUGGCGAAGGCAGCCCCCUGGGUCGAUACUGACGCUCAUGCACGAAAGCGUGGGUAGCAAACAGGAUUAGAUACCCUGGUAGUCCACGCCCUAAACGAUGUCAACUAGGUGGUGGGUGGGUAAAACCAUUUAGUACCGGAGCUAACGCGUGAAGUUGACCGCCUGGGGAGUACGGCCGCAAGGUU
Molecule: ribosomal RNA, 371 nt
Filed under: uncultured organism
Description: bacterial SSU rRNA
Rfam family: Bacterial small subunit ribosomal RNA
Source: RNAcentral